UAACGAUACGGGACUCAUCCGAGGCCCCGUAAUCGGAAUGAGUACACUUUAAAUCCUUUAACGAGGACCCAUUGGAGGGCAAGUCUGGUGCCAGCAGCCGCGGUAAUUCCAGCUCCAAUAGCGUAUAUUAAAGUUGUUGCGGUUAAAAAGCUCGUAGUUGAAUCUGUGUGCCACGCUGUCGGUUCAUCGCUCGCGAUGUUUAACUGACAUGAUUGUGGGACGUCCUACCGGUGGGCUUGCCUUUCGGGGCGGUCCAGCUAAUAUCCCAUCGCGGUGCUCUUCAUCGAGUGUCGAGGUGGGCCGGUACGUUUACUUUGAACAAAUUAGAGUGCUCAAAGCAGGCUAUGUUCGCCUGAAUAUUUUUUGCAUGGAAUAAUGGAAUAGGACCUCGGUUCUAUUUUGUUGGUUUUCGGAACCCCGAGGUAAUGAUUAAUAGGGACAGAUGGGGGCAUUCGUAUUGCGACGUUAGAGGUGAAAUUCUUGGAUCGUCGCAAGACGGACAGAAGCGAAAGCAUUUGCCAAAAAUGUUUUCAUUAAUCAAGAACGAAAGUUAGAGGUUCGAAGGCGAUCAGAUACCGCCCUAGUUCUAACCAUAAACGAUGCCAGCUAGCGAUCCGCCGAAGUUCCUCCGAUGACUCGGCGGGCAGCUUCCGGGAAACCAAAGCUUUUGGGUUCCGGGGGAAGUAUGGUUGCAAAGCUGAAACUUAAAGGAAUUGACGGAAGGGCACCACCAGGAGUGGAGCCUGCGGCUUAAUUUGACUCAACAC
Molecule: ribosomal RNA, 767 nt
Filed under: Ufens sp. D0770
Lineage: Eukaryota; Metazoa; Arthropoda; Insecta; Hymenoptera; Trichogrammatidae
Description: SSU rRNA
Rfam family: Eukaryotic small subunit ribosomal RNA
Source: RNAcentral